This 516-nucleotide ribosomal RNA is filed under the name Henosepilachna biroi. Its description in RNAcentral is "partial 16S ribosomal RNA". The stretch from base 378 to 516 matches the Rfam family "Bacterial large subunit ribosomal RNA", at positions 2473 to 2612 of the family's 2925-position model. Lineage: Eukaryota; Metazoa; Arthropoda; Insecta; Coleoptera; Coccinellidae. The record is from RNAcentral.
CUCUUUUUGAAUUUAAUUUAAAGUUAGGCCUGCCCACUGAAUUUUGAAGGGCCGCAGUAUUUUGACUGUGCAAAGGUAGCAUAAUCAAUAGUUUUUUAAUUGAAAGCUUGUAUGAAUGGUUUGAUGAGAAAAUUUCUGUUUCAAUUUAAAUAAUAGAAUUUUAUAUUUAAGUAAAAAAGCUUAAAUUUAAUUUAAAGACGAGAAGACCCUAUAGAGUUUAACUAAAAGUAAUUUUUAAAAUUAAGGAAUUUUUUGUUUAAAAAUUAAUUAAGUUUUGUUGGGGUGAUAGAAAAAUUAAAUUAACUUUUUUUUUAUUAAAACAAUAUUUUUUGAGUUUUUGAUCCAUAAAAAUGAUUAGAAGAAUAAAUUACCUUAGGGAUAACAGCGUAAUUUUUUUUGAAAGUUCUUAUUGAAAAAAAGGAUUGCGACCUCGAUGUUGGAUUAAAAUUAAUUUUUGGUGGAGAAGCUAUUAAAUUAGGUCUGUUCGACCUUUAAAAUUUUACAUGAUCUGAGUUU